RNAcentral lists this ribosomal RNA (497 nucleotides) under uncultured bacterium. RNAcentral's name for it is "partial 16S ribosomal RNA". It matches the Rfam family "Bacterial small subunit ribosomal RNA", at positions 28 to 507 of the family's 1533-position model. The record is from RNAcentral.
GAUGAACGCUGGCGGCGUGCCUAAUACAUGCAAGUCGAGCGAACAGACGAGGAGCUUGCUCCUCUGACGUUAGCGGCGGACGGGUGAGUAACACGUGGAUAACCUACCUAUAAGACUGGGAUAACUUCGGGAACCCGGAGCUAAUACCGGAUAUUAUAUUGAACCGCAUGGUUCAUUAGUGAAAGACGGUUUUGCUGUACCUUAUAGAUGGAUCCGCGCCGCAUUAGCUAGUUGGUAAGGUAACGGCUUACCAAGGCAACGAUGCGUAGCCGACCUGAGAGGGUGAUCGGCCACACUGGAACUGAGACACGGUCCAGACUCCUACGGGAGGCAGCAGUAGGGAAUCUUCCGCAAUGGGCGAAAGCCUGACGGAGCAACGCCGCGUGAGUGAUGAAGGUCUUCGGAUCGUAAAACUCUGUUAUUAGGGAAGAACAAAUGUGUAAGUAACUAUGCACGUCUUGACGGUACCUAAUCAGAAAGCCACGGCUAACUACGUG